AUAACCUUUGCCUCUUAGUACUAGUACUAUGUUGGCUUUUUUGUUUUCUAUUUUAAUUAUGUUCUAAUUUCACACUUAUAUGUAAACUAUCAGUCAGUCAUUUUAGUUCUGUUAUUGUACUUAAAGAACCAAGGAGCAAAUUUACUGAUUUUCAGGUAAAAUGGAAGAUUAUAUUGAAAUACCUACAAAUCAAGGAAGACUGAGAGGCUUGAUCUUGGAAUCAGAAGGGAUUUCCAAAACAACUUAUUAUUCUUUUCAAGGAAUUCCUUAUGCAAAACCUCCAAUUGGUGAUUUAAGAUUUAAGGAUCCUCAGCCUUUUGGUAAAUGGAAUGGAGUUCAUGAUGCCACAAUGGAAGGAAAUGAUUCACUUCAUAAACAUAUUGUUUUUAAGAAUCUCCUAGGUGAUGAAGAUUGCCUGUAUCUCAAUGUAUACACAACAGAGGUUAGUUUUAUAAAUUCUG
This 461-nucleotide long non-coding RNA is filed under the name Homalodisca vitripennis (glassy-winged sharpshooter). RNAcentral's name for it is "uncharacterized LOC124372622, transcript variant X3". The record is from RNAcentral. Lineage: Eukaryota; Metazoa; Arthropoda; Insecta; Hemiptera; Cicadellidae.